GGGCGUAUGGUGGAUGCCUUGACUCAAGUGAGCGAUGAAGGACGUAGCGAUCUGCGAUAAGCCUCGGGGAGCUGAUGAGCAAGCUUUGAUCCGGGGAUUUCCGAAUGCGGCAACGCAUCUCGAUUCAUAUCGGGAUAUUACUGUCUGAAUUCAUAGGACAGUGAAGCGUACCCAGGGAACUGAAACAUCUUAGUACCUGGAGGAAAAUAAAUCCAAAAGAUUCCGUCAGUAGUGGCGAGCGAAAGCGGAGAAGCCUAAACCGUUUCACUUCGGUGAAGCGGGGUUGCGAGAUAAUAACGUCCUAUCUUGUAAAACGUUGAAUAUAGUUGUCAGCGUUUUACUCGACGGGAGUGAAGUUACAAAUUGUUUUGUUAGCUGAACAAUUCUGGAAAGUGAGACCAAAGAGGGUAAUAGUCCCGUAAGCGAAAACGAAACAACUUUAUUGUUAUUAUUCUCAAGUAAGGCGGGACCGGAGAAAUCCCGUCUGAAGCCGGGGCCACUAUAGCUCCAAGGCUAAAUAUCACUUGAGAUCGAUAGCGAACUAGUACCGUGAGGGAAAGGUGAAAAGAACCCCGAUGAGGGGAGUGAA
Molecule: ribosomal RNA, 589 nt
Filed under: Candidatus Moranbacteria bacterium GW2011_GWF1_44_4
Lineage: Bacteria; Candidatus Moraniibacteriota
Description: bacterial LSU rRNA
Rfam family: Bacterial large subunit ribosomal RNA
Source: RNAcentral